Molecule: long non-coding RNA, 682 nt
Organism: Scylla paramamosain (green mud crab)
Lineage: Eukaryota; Metazoa; Arthropoda; Malacostraca; Decapoda; Portunidae
Exons: 5
Source: RefSeq, a predicted model, not a curated record
GGGCGAGGAAUGGCAGUGAGGCAGGAACCUUGGUGUGGUGUUUACCUGAGGUAGUCGACGGCGUGGAUGAGGCGUCCGAUGUAUUGUGGGAUUCCCUUGGCGCGCCUGUUCCACCCGUCAAUCUUCACGGCGGCCUCUACCACCUGUUGGAGGCAUGGAAGGCGCGGACACAGCAUUAAGAUCCGUAUUCAGAAACGCUUAGCUCUCUCACCACGACUAUUUUGUAAGGCACGUAUGUUUAGAGGAGGAAGGAGAACCUGGGACCGUCUGUGCUGCGUCACUUAGACCAUGGCUACGGACCAUGGCUACGGGAGAGACGUGUGCUGGCUGUGAAUAUACGAACCGCCAGUUCUCUCAGCUUCUUCUUAAGGUGGAGGAGCAGUAGAGGGCGAACCUGCAGACGUGACACCGCUGCCGCCCGCCACGCCCGCACGCCCAGCACCGCCCUGCCCCAGAGUCCAUGUCUGGGGCGUGCUACAGUUUGAGUCUGGGGUUACAGCGGGCUUGGGAGAUAUGACACCUGAAGAUGCUGCAUCUUCUCUUUCCUGGCUAGCAGAUAAAGAAGAUACAAGGAUGAGAAGAAAAAAUAAAGAAAAAUAUAAGAGAAUAAAGGAAUUAAAGAGAAGACAAGAAGAGUAAAGAGAAACAGAAAGGAAGAGAAGGGAAGAGAGAAGAAAAGAAA